CACUCGACUCCUGUUGACAGUACAUUGGAAAUAACCAGUGGAUGGAAGAGAAUUCAGUAACCUGGAGAGACGGCAGCAUUCUGGAGCAGAGGGGAGGUCACGGAGAUAAUUUUGUCCCAAUGUUUUGUUUUACAGAAGAGCAAACCAAGGUAUUGAGAGGCAGCCAUGCUGAAACAGAUCUUCUAACCCAUACGACAGGCUGAGCCUUUUUGGUGGAGGAUCAUUGUGCUGUACCUUGGUUAAUGUUGUCUCUUCUGACUGCACGUUAGACCCAGCUGGAAAGUUUAAAGAACACAAAGGUAGACCACUAGGAUCCACUCUUGAUCAAGUAAAUCAGAUUCCCGAGUAAAGCAAAAUUCCCUGGUAGGCAAUUCUUAAGAAGCUCUGGAACUGAUUAGUCUGUAGACUGGUUGAGAAACAUGGGUCCCGGCAAAGAAGAGAUCCCAGAAAUCAAUGCUGGAUCAAGCCGGUGGCCGCGAAUCCUGGCUUGCACCUGUUGUCCUGACAUUUUUUAAUAGCACUUUUUUUUUAUUCUUAAAAUUCCCCAUAUUUGAACAAUAAAUGCUAUGAUUAUACAACAUGGAAGACUGUUAGAAAUUUUUUUUCUUAAUUGAUAAGACAAAAGUGAGGUGUAGCUUAAAAAGCAGAGAUCUUAAGUGUAUUGAUGAAAUGUAACAUAUGUGUGCAUCUAUGUAGCUACAAGCUAUAAUAACAAUUUUAGUACUUUCCAGAACAUUUGUUUCUCUUUCUGGUUAGUAGCCUUUUCUUUAUCCCAAACAAGUAAUUUUGACUCCCUAUGAGUAGAUUCAGAAAAUAUAUACUGUUGUGUGUCUGAUUUCUAUCUCUCAAAAUCAUGUUUGUGAAAUUCAUUUACGGCACAGCGUGUAUCUGAAGUUUGAUAUUUUAUACAGCUAUAUAGUAUUCCAUUAUAUGAUUAUACUAUAACUUAUUUACCAAUUUGUUGGUUGUGGAUGGACAUUUGAGUGUUUCCAUUUUUGUCAAAUGGGAAUAAAGCAGCUAUCUA
Ictidomys tridecemlineatus (thirteen-lined ground squirrel) is the source of this 1024-nucleotide non-coding RNA. Lineage: Eukaryota; Metazoa; Chordata; Mammalia; Rodentia; Sciuridae. The record is from RefSeq and is a predicted model, not a curated record.